RNAcentral lists this ribosomal RNA (710 nucleotides) under Phaeobacter sp. RNAcentral's name for it is "bacterial SSU rRNA". It matches the Rfam family "Bacterial small subunit ribosomal RNA", at positions 39 to 795 of the family's 1533-position model. Lineage: Bacteria; Pseudomonadati; Pseudomonadota; Alphaproteobacteria; Rhodobacterales; Roseobacteraceae. The record is from RNAcentral.
GGGGCGCGGCUUACACAUGCAAGUCGAGCGCACUCUUCGGAGUGAGCGGCGGACGGGUUAGUAACGCGUGGGAACGUGCCCUUCUCUAAGGAAUAGCCACUGGAAACGGUGAGUAAUACCUUAUACGCCCUUCGGGGGAAAGAUUUAUCGGAGAAGGAUCGGCCCGCGUUAGAUUAGAUAGUUGGUGGGGUAAUGGCCUACCAAGUCUACGAUCUAUAGCUGGUUUUAGAGGAUGAUCAGCAACACUGGGACUGAGACACGGCCCAGACUCCUACGGGAGGCAGCAGUGGGGAAUCUUGGACAAUGGGCGCAAGCCUGAUCCAGCCAUGCCGCGUGAGUGAUGAAGGCCUUAGGGUCGUAAAGCUCUUUCGCCAGAGAUGAUAAUGACAGUAUCUGGUAAAGAAACCCCGGCUAACUCCGUGCCAGCAGCCGCGGUAAUACGGAGGGGGUUAGCGUUGUUCGGAAUUACUGGGCGUAAAGCGCACGUAGGCGGAUCAGAAAGUAUAGGGUGAAAUCCCAGGGCUCAACCCUGGAACUGCCUUGUAAACUCCUGGUCUUGAGUUCGAGAGAGGUGAGUGGAAUUCCGAGUGUAGAGGUGAAAUUCGUAGAUAUUCGGAGGAACACCAGUGGCGAAGGCGGCUCACUGGCUCGAUACUGACGCUGAGGUGCGAAAGUGUGGGGAGCAAACAGGAUUAGAUACCCUGGUAGUC